CCUACGGGGGGCAGCAGUGGGGAAUAUUGGACAAUGGGCGAAAGCCUGAUCCAGCCAUGCCGCGUGUGUGAAGAAGGCCUUCGGGUUGUAAAGCACUUUCAGUGGGGAAGAAAGCCUUGGGGCUAAUACCCUCGAGGAAGGACAUCACCCACAGAAGAAGCACCGGCUAACUCCGUGCCAGCAGCCGCGGUAAUACGGAGGGUGCGAGCGUUAAUCGGAAUUACUGGGCGUAAAGCGCGCGUAGGCGGUCUGAUAAGCCGGUUGUGAAAGCCCCGGGCUCAACCUGGGAACGGCAUCCGGAACUGGCAGGCUAGAGUGCAGGAGAGGAAGGUAGAAUUCCCGGUGUAGCGGUGAAAUGCGUAGAGAUCGGGAGGAAUACCAGUGGCGAAGGCGGCCUUCUGGACUGACACUGACGCUGAGGUGCGAAAGCGUGGGUAGCAAACAGGAUUAGAUACCCCGGUAGUC
RNAcentral lists this ribosomal RNA (465 nucleotides) under Vreelandella stevensii. Its description in RNAcentral is "partial 16S ribosomal RNA". It matches the Rfam family "Bacterial small subunit ribosomal RNA", at positions 338 to 795 of the family's 1533-position model. The record is from RNAcentral. Lineage: Bacteria; Pseudomonadati; Pseudomonadota; Gammaproteobacteria; Oceanospirillales; Halomonadaceae.